AUCCCAUGAUGAGGACAUUCUGAUAUGUAAUCUUGGAAGCGUUCCCAUGCCUUACGGACAGAUUCUUGAUACUAUUGCUGGAAGGUUGAGAUCUUUGCACGUAAGGCA
Molecule: small nucleolar RNA, 108 nt
Filed under: Sorghum bicolor (sorghum)
Lineage: Eukaryota; Viridiplantae; Streptophyta; Magnoliopsida; Poales; Poaceae
Description: Plant small nucleolar RNA R71
Rfam family: Plant small nucleolar RNA R71
About the family: R71 is a member of the C/D box family of snoRNAs containing the C (UGAUGA) and D (CUGA) box motifs. Multiple nearly identical copies of this snoRNA have been identified in Arabidopsis, and it is thought to function as a 2'-O-ribose methylation guide for 18S ribosomal RNA.
Source: Rfam by way of RNAcentral